Long non-coding RNA from Helianthus annuus (common sunflower), 2507 nucleotides. RefSeq lists it as uncharacterized. The transcript has 5 exons. Lineage: Eukaryota; Viridiplantae; Streptophyta; Magnoliopsida; Asterales; Asteraceae. The record is from RefSeq and is a predicted model, not a curated record.
AAGAGAGACAUAAAAGAAAAGGAGAUGCAGACUUUAGAAAGAGAAAGUAAGAGUCUGAGAAAGUAGAGAGAGAGCAGCAAAGAAAAAGGGAUCCGAUGGGUUCCGGCCGCUGGCGAUGGCGGAGCCAUGGUGCCUUUAAUUGGAGCUACAACAAUGGUGGUCUAGAUGGUGUCGGGUUGGAGAAAUAAACAACAGUGGUGGUGCUAGGGUUUGACAGAGGAUGAUGGUGAUAAGAGGCGGUGGUUCAGUUAACCCCCUUCUGUCUUGUCUCUCAUGUCCUUAUCCAUUCCUCUGGGGUUCUCCCCCUUCUCUGACGAAGGAGCCGACAGUGAUAGUGAUGGCCGGCCAUGAAGAAGAUGAUGGUGUUUCUUUUGUUGAGAAGUGACGGUGGUAGUGAUGGCCGGCAAGACGAUGGUGUUUCUUUUGUUGAGAAGUGGUGCUGGAGACAAAGAUUAGGGUUCCGAAAUGUCUUCUGGUAUAGUUCCGGCUAAACUCAGGUAAGGUUCGAUUCUAUUGCAUGUUUCAGUACUUUCUUGAAUUUAUAUUAUUAGAGUGAAUAGUAAAUUAGUAAACACUAAUGAAUAGAUAUCACUUACUACAUCACAGUUGUUCCAUUGUAACACAAAUAUUUUUAUUAAUAAACAAAAAAAACACAUACUUCAUGAAAAAUGAUUUCGUAAAUAUAAUCAAACUAAACAUACAGCAAAUGUAAGCUUCUUAAACCUUCAAACGCCAUUUGAAGAUGAUAAUCAAUAGUGAAAAAUGUAAACAUUGUACUCAAAUGCUCCAUCAAUCCUGCUAGCAUCGAAGAACUGAGUAUUCGUAAGCGCGUAACCACGUGCAAAUCGAAAAAUCCCAGUUCCUCCAACGAUUGGCAACUCUCUCACUGGCAACAAUACUUGAUUCCUCCCUAAGAUUCUCAAACUAUUACCAUUGUAUUUAUCAUCUAUAAAAAUGUAAUUUAGGACAAAUAAAAACCCGAAGUCAUUUAAGUCAGCAGACGCAAUCGUUUUUUUAAAAAUCGUACACACAUCAGUUGACAUAUGACAUCAACAUAUAAAAGAUAUACAAUAUAAAAAAACUACAUACAAACAUAUAAUACGAUUAUCACAAUUAUUUAUUAGAAAAUUAUGCUCGUAACAUAUAAAUUAGGGGUGUGCAAAAUCCUUCGAAAACAAACGGAACCACCUAAACCCAAGAAAGGUAACCAGCUUGAGUACAUACGGUCAUGUUCAUAGUUCAGUUUUUACAAUGAUUAAAACCAGAAACUAGCCAUAUAACAUUUAUUAUCUUUUCUUAUUUUUUAAAUAUAAAUCUAUACAUAUACUUUUAUUGAAAAAUAUAUGUUUAUAAAAACAACUUUUUCCCUAAAUCGUCAAAAGCAAACUGUAAAACUGCGAGUACUAGCCAGUUUGCCUGACCCAAUCAACUCAACGUGUUUGCUUUGUAUUUCUUUUUCCAAACUUGCAUGUGUGUCCCCACACCAUCUCUACCUGUAUCUGAACUUGGCGGAAGGUGGUCACAGAAGCUACGCCACUGGUCAGAGAUAUGGUGUGUACCCACACCAUCUCUACCGGUAUUACUCCGCGAACUCUUCCGCGGGGUACGCACAACAAUAUGGUAAUCUCUCUUGCAGCCGCUCCUCCAUUGCAACCGGUAAGUGUAAUUUUCAUGACAAUUAGCAAGUUUACUAUCUUUUCUUACAAAAACUCAACUAACCUUUUUGACAGAUGGAAAUGCUCAAAGAAGUUGAUCAAGAUACUUGAAAGGUGGUAGUAGAACAAAAGGAAUAGGGCAAUGGUUGGAUGAAAAUGGGUUCGAAUCGCGAGAAAAAGGAAGGGGCUUUUUUGAUUCGUGGGUGGGCACCACAAGUUCUGAGCCUAUUGUACCGAACCAUGGGUUUUCCGCACGUUUUCGCCACCGCAACGCGUGACGGGUAAUCAAAUCCACCUGCGGAACUAAGGUGUCAAAUUUAGAUAACAUGCUGUGGUGGCGGCGGUUUACACUCGAGAAUCACAUAUUAAGGCGGUGAUGGUGAAUGUUGUUUCAGACAGCGCACCGAGGUGGCUUCCUUUGACGACGAAGACGAUGAAGAUGACUAACAACCGAGAACCAUGAGAAGUAUUUGUUCUUAUGAAAAUUAGUUGGGAGAUUGGGUGAAACCACUACGACAACACCGUUGUUUGUCGCUGCUUUAGCCUAUAUAUCGUCCACUUUUUCAUCUAGAGCACCAAGACAAUCGUUCAAGCCUUUAAACCUGAUAUGUUUUGCUUACAGGGUCUUCUCUGUUUACCAAAUAAUCACAUAGGAAGUUUGCAAAUUGACGUUGUUUGUCAUAAGGAGAUAGUACGUGGAUUGUUAAGAAGUUUAUGUGUGGAGAUGUUAAGACCGGAGGUUCAACGUGUUUAUUAGUGUACACAAUUAUUUAUAUAACGUUGUAUUUAUAGUUGUUACUCGGAUUUUGAUGAAGAAAGAAGUCUAAUAAGCUUAAACAUAAUUGGUGUAAA